Molecule: ribosomal RNA, 253 nt
Filed under: uncultured bacterium
Lineage: Bacteria
Description: partial 16S ribosomal RNA
Rfam family: Bacterial small subunit ribosomal RNA
Source: RNAcentral
UACGUAGGGGGCAAGCGUUGUCCGGAAUCAUUGGGCGUAAAGCGCGUGUAGGCGGUUCGGUAAGUCUGCUGUGAAAGUCCAGGGCUCAACCCUGGGAUGCCGGUGGAUACUGUCGGACUAGAGUACGGAAGAGGCGAGUGGAAUUCCCGGUGUAGCGGUGAAAUGCGCAGAUAUCGGGAGGAACACCAAUUGCGAAGGCAGCUCGCUGGGACGUCACUGACGGCUGAGACGCGAAAGCGUGGGGAGCAACAGG